CGAAGAAUUCGAAGCCAUUUGGAUUGAAAUGAUUAUGAAACACUCAAAAUCUAUUUCAUUUGCAUAACUUACAGACCACAUCGCGCCAUCUACGCAAUAAUUUCAACGUUCUAUACCAUGAUAUGAUCUCCUCAACCAUAGCUGAAGACAAAGAAACCUUAACUGCGGGGACCUUAACAGUAAUUAUAACAAUCUAACUGAUCAAAAGGAACUGAAAGAUAUGUAAAUAAAAAUCAUAAAAAUCAGAUCUCUUUACACGUUUACACAAGGCGUGAACAGACUUCAUGAAGGUGAGAGGGAGAGCAAUUGGACGAUGCUAAAAGUAUGAUAGUGCUCAAAUCUGUGCGGCCCACAUUAGUUUUGGAACCAUAUGGCAAUAAUUGGAAAUAUUUGCUUUAUUCUUUAAAAAACUUACUCCACUGAUGAGGCGAUCAAUCGUUAGGAAAUAGAAAGAAUAAUGAAUUAAUUAGGAAACUCGAAAACCGCCUUAGCUCGGCUGACAUGAGUUGCCUUUGACAUUGUUUACAUGUGACCACGACCUCGUCAAAUUUCCUCGAAAAAUGGAAUUGACGCAGGAAAUGGUUUGUUUGUCUGAAAUUGUCUUUAAUUCCCUGCUCGAGGAAAAAUUUCAGACACGUUGUAUGGUUUUGUUUAAAUAAACUGUGGUAUUUCCUUGCAAGAAAUGUAUUUUCGCUUGCUCGAAACAAUCUGGAAAGAUGAAAUUCUUUGAGAAUCAGCAAUCAUUUACCUAACUGUUUGCUGUUUGACUUCCGAUUGAUACGGAUUGACAAUGCAGGUCGACGAUGUUCAAGUGUUGUUCCUGCAACGAAGAACCGAAAGGCAAUGACUACGAAUACAACUAUAUGUCGACCUUGCUACGAUAAAAUCACAGAAUUACAAUCACAAUCACAAUCACAGAAUCUAAAUCUAGCAAAAGUGUCCUGAGUCAUUUCACCAAAGUUCACGAUUGCAGUAGUAUUCAUAACCACGAAGGAACAAAUGCAAACUUCCAGUAAGUCUAUCUCAACGUACGUCACAUCUGGGUGCAUUGCAAGCUUGUGGAGACACUGACAGAUAGUUUUGUU
This is a long non-coding RNA of Dendronephthya gigantea, 1085 nucleotides long. RefSeq lists it as uncharacterized. The record is from RefSeq and is a predicted model, not a curated record. NCBI's taxonomy places the organism in Eukaryota, Metazoa, Cnidaria, Anthozoa, Malacalcyonacea, Nephtheidae. The transcript has 4 exons.